CGUUGGUGCUUGUCUAUGCCUCUCUCAAUCCGUAACAACGACAAUAGCCAUGACAUCUACAACCGAUUAACCAACCAAUCGGAGGCCACCAGCUCUCCCUUCUAGAAUCUUGCACAAAACGCAUACACCGUUAUCACCGUUUUAGGAAGACCACAAGCAGCAGGAACCUUCAAGAAGGGAUAAGAUGAUGACACAACCGAUAAGCUCUUCAGGAGUUGAGUGGUGCGAUCGGUGGAACGGUGGAAGAUCUUCAAGAGUUGAGUGGAUUUUCAAACUCAUCACCGAAACAGAACGUUCAAUAUAUUUAUGGCCAUACAUCCUGGAUUGGUGUAUGCUUUAUGAGCUGGAACAACCUGCAGAAACUGAGUUUUUCCUUGUAGAUGUGGGCUGGACACGUGGGUUGCAAAUUACCCACCAUCUAUCUAUCCCUCAAUUGCUUUUCCAAGAAUUCUCCAUGUGCUAAAAACUGAAGUGGUGGUUCGGCCCAAAGAAUUCACUUGCAUGCCAUUUUUCAACUCUUCCUCCCAAUUUGAUGGUUUACCUAUCUUCUUGGCCGUGCGCCGUUUGAGUGAGGUAGGUGUAUGUGUCUUCCGUUAAGUACUGCAACAAAACCAGGUCAAGAUCACCAUUUCUCCCCUCCUAGAAUUUUCUUUUGUUCGAUGGAUCAAAUUUGCAAUCAAACAAUUCUUUCUCAGCUAAAGACAAACCCAUAUAUGUAUAUACUUUUUGUUCUGUUUCACUUCCUAUCUUGGUUCAGCUUCGUUGUUUCUGGGUUCACAGACUAUAGACCAAACUCCACCAUCUGGUAUGUAAUUUAGUGGUUUUCUACUCCUUUUUCGGCUAUCUAUGGAUGCAUUAAGAUCUUAUUUGCAUGCCUCUAUUCUCAUGGGUGUCUGUUAGUGCUUACACAAAUUAGGCACACCACCUAUUUGACAAUAUGCCUGAAUAUGUAGACCAAAAAAUUAGAGGGCUUCUAUAAUUGAAAACUUGCAUUGAAAAUGGGUGAAUGCUCACACACAUUGAAUUUCUCACUAUAUAAAUAUAUAGUCUCGCUAGAAUUGGUAUUACACUGUUCUUUACAUCACUGUUGGCAUAGUUGUUGUCGUAACGCUGUUCAAGUUGCUAAUCCAAAUUUCUGGUUCCACCGUUGCAAAUCCUGGUAAUUAUAUCCGUAUUUUGAUGUUUAUAUGUCAGUUGCACAAUAUUCACCUACAAUGCUUUCAUUCUUGCAUAUGUGUUUAGUAGAUGCCCACCAAGUGUUUGUCAAUAUGUCUAAAUCAACAAAAAGUUUAACAACUUGAUUUGGGUAAUUGGCUCCUCCACCUGUUCUCAGAUUUCCAAGGACUCCAACAUCAAAUACAACAAAUGAAAAGACAUUAAUAAAACUAUAAAUAGGCUUCAUUUGGAUGUGCUAAUUUGAAAUUGAAAGAUUUGAAGAGAAACUUUGUUAAAUUAUAUCAAUACUACAUAUUGAAUCUAGAGUAAUAGUUUUAAAGCGAUAGUCUUUGUUAAGUUUACCAGGUUUAAUCACAAACCAAUUUCAAAAACAACAAUCCAAACAGAAUGUUGUGAUUUUAUAGCAAACCAACAUGUGUGCAUAUACAUUAACCCAUCAAAAGCAAACUAAAAACCCAUCAUGCCAUGAAUAUAAAGAUCAAAUUUAAUGAAGCACAAAAUGAAAAAAGAGCUUACAAACCACCAAUUCUAGAAGAAGUUUAUCAAAACCAAGCACUGAAAUAUCAUCAUAAAUUCAUAAUAGACAUCCAAAGACACCCAAAAGGGUGACCACAUAGUAAGAGCUAUAGACUAUGCAAAACAACUAUAAAAUUAUAUGGUUAAUUUCGGAGUUCACAUGAAAAAGAAUCAGAGAACAUGCAAAUCAAGGGAAAUUGCAAAAAAAAAUACUAAAAUUAUGAACAGAAAACUUAAUGAAAGUACAAGAGGAAGAGUAAUCAUCCAUGACUUCCUAAAGUUUUGAGUAAAUAUAUAUAUAUAUAUAUAUGUUUGGUGCCUUUUUCCUUGUUUCUUUUCCAAACCUGUUGGCUUUCACAAUUUUCUAGAUUUAAAAAAUGCUUUUUAUUUGGUCAUUGUUUGUUUUGAAAGACCUUUCUUAAUCUAAACUUUCUUAAUAUGUAGACCAAAAAAUUAGAGGGCUUCUCUAAAUGAUUCUUUAUUUUCAUUGAGUUACUUUUGGUUUUCCUUCAACUUGAUUGGUUUGUUGAUGGGUUGGUUAGGUCAAGUGGUUAUUGGAUUGGACCAUAUAAUCAUCACCAUGAAGAAGGAGGGAUAUGGUUGUGUUUUUCAUCUCCUUGUGUUAUUUAGUUUGAAGUGGAUCUCAUCUCAUGGAUCACAGUAGUAAAUGUUUACAAGGAUGGUGGAAUUAUCAAGAAAGUGAUAGAGAAGGGAGAACAAGGAUGAUUGAUUGAUUUAUGAUCUUUGUAUAGAUCGAGAUUAGAAACCUUAACAAGCUUUGGCACCAUUGGGAGAGGGAAAAAGUUGAGUAUUUUACAUUGGCUGAUCUUUGGAAUUUUUUUGAUAAAUGGAGUGCUUAUGGUGCUUAUGUGUCUUACCUCUUUGCACUCCAAAUCUUUACAAGCAAGUCGUUGGUGAACAAUUUAAGGCACCAAUUUCAUUCUCUACAAUUGUAUAAGUUCUUUGAAACAUUUGUAAUUAGCUAGAGCUCGUGCACUGGGUUGCUUUGUUUUUAUUUGUAAUUUGAUAAUUUGAUACAGUUUGGAACAAAGAUUAUUUGUUGUGAUUACAAAGUUUCUUGAACGAUUUAUUAUGAACUUUUAUUCUUUUAUAGUUGGUUUGAAGGUUGAUAUAAUGUUGUAAUUUAAUUGCUUGGAACCCUCAUAUGGUUUAGUCAAAGUUGUCCCAUUUUGAUGAUUUCUUUCUUGUUUUUUGGUAUGAAUUAUAAUUCUAUGUUCUUAAAAUGGUUUGGCAAUUGAAAUGCUCGAAUCCCAUUAUUGAUUGUUUGGUGUUUAUUGACAUUGGAUAGUUACUCUUCUAUAUGUUUAUUUUGUUAUACAAAGCAAUUAACUUAUUUAGGUUCUUCACGUUCAUAACAUCAACUCUAUUUUUACGAAUUGUUGCAUUUCAAAAUUCUGAUUAAUGAAAGAACUGGAAACUCUAUGAUGAAACAGAGAUUGGGUUGGGAUUGACAGCAUUUUGCUUACUGUUCUUAUUCUUGGGAAUCAUUUGGUUUUUUGACAAGGGACUACCUACCAUGGAAAAUGCCUUGCCUUGUGAUGAUUGUACAAGGAACUAUUUCUUUCGACGUGGGCUUUUUCUUGGUUGUUGGUGUUCAAGUGUUUAUUGUUUUCGUAAUAAUUAAUGAAACAAAGGCACAGAUGGAUAAAAAUGAUCAAGAGGAGCGGUUGGGAAAUUAUCAAUUUCCUCAGGGUGGAAUGAAAAAAACAUUGAAAUGGGAAACAAUUGAAAGCCCCAUUUGGAAAAGAGCAUUUGGGCAAAAGCUACCCCAACUAGCUUUAGGCUAAAUAUGGAAUUCCAGUUUGAUUGCAUUUCCUAAUUCAGUUCUUGUGGAAAUUAAACAAGCAUGGGAAUCACUUUUGGUGUUGGUUUCCCAAGUCAGCCCUUUUGUACUUAUGGUGUUGAUUGGCACUAAAGUACUCUCUUCCCUUAUCUUUCUAAUUUUUUUUAUGCAUUCAAGAAAUUAGAACGCAAGGUUUUGUUUGAUUUGGUUGGGUUUAUUUAAGAAAUUGUACCAAUUGGUUUUUGAAUAGCCUUCUUUUGAUUGCUUAAGUAGUAGAGUGUGUUUACUUUAAUACCAAUUGUUUGUUUCUUUGCCAUGACUGAUUUGGAAUACCUAAAAAUUUGUAUCAGUAGAUUUUUUGUUUAAGCCAAUAAAGUUUUUUAAUAAAGACAAAAUAUGAUAUUUUUUUUAUUAUAGAAAUAGGGAAGAAGAAUAUAGCGAUCUCGAUUUUUCCUUCAUUGUUUAUUGUAUUUUGGACUUGGUUCUGUGGACGUAUGUUGUUGUCUUAUUCUCGUUUCCAUCCUUUGAUUCUUUGUAUUUGAGUUUUGGGAUAUGUUGGGCAGGUUUGAAACAGAUUGGUUGUGAUUUGAAAUAAAUAGUUGCUGCCCAGAUUUUGGUUUCUUCGCUCGAGCGAGGCUUUUGUCGCUCGAACGAGCUUUCGGUUUUAGUUUCUUCGCUCGAGCCAGGAUUCCUUUGCUCAAGCGAGCUUUGAGUGGUGUGU
This is an RNA transcript of Camellia sinensis, 4217 nucleotides long. RefSeq lists it as uncharacterized. The record is from RefSeq and is a predicted model, not a curated record. Lineage: Eukaryota; Viridiplantae; Streptophyta; Magnoliopsida; Ericales; Theaceae.